AUUGAACGCUGGCGGCAUGCCUACACAUGCAAGUCGAACGGCAGCACGGGAGCAAUCCUGGUGGCGAGUGGCGAACGGGUGAGUAAUAUAUCGGAACGUGCCCAGUCGUGGGGGAUAACGCAGCGAAAGCUGUGCUAAUACCGCAUGAGAUCUAUGGAUGAAAGCGGGGGAUCGCAAGACCUCGCGCGAUUGGAGCGGCCGAUAUCAGAUUAGGUAGUUGGUGGGGUAAAGGCUCACCAAGCCGACGAUCUGUAGCUGGUCUGAGAGGACGACCAGCCACACUGGAACUGAGACACGGUCCAGACUCCUACGGGAGGCAGCAGUGGGGAAUUUUGGACAAUGGGCGCAAGCCUGAUCCAGCAAUGCCGCGUGCAGGAUGAAGGCCUUCAGGUUGUAAACUGCUUUUGUACGGAACGAAAAGGCUCUGGUUAAUACCUGGGGCACAUGACGGUACCGUAAGAAUAAGCACCGGCUAACUACGUGCCAGCCGCCGCAGUAA
RNAcentral lists this ribosomal RNA (499 nucleotides) under uncultured bacterium. Its description in RNAcentral is "partial 16S ribosomal RNA". It matches the Rfam family "Bacterial small subunit ribosomal RNA", at positions 30 to 523 of the family's 1533-position model. The record is from RNAcentral.